Molecule: small RNA, 511 nt
Filed under: Cryptococcus neoformans H99
Lineage: Eukaryota; Fungi; Basidiomycota; Tremellomycetes; Tremellales; Cryptococcaceae
Description: Cryptococcus neoformans var. grubii H99 hypothetical RNA
Source: RNAcentral
CAAUAAUGCAUGAGAAAAGACGACUAGGCCACCAAGGUUAUUCAAUGCCAUGGUGGCACGAGAAUAAAAAUUGGAAAGGACGAGAACUCUGCAUGUUCUGAUUCUUGGAAGGCGAAAGACGGUGGAGCAGGAGACAGGCAGUUUCAAAGGAAAAGCAGACAUUGGAUUGAUGGGUUUGACUGCUGGUUUUCGUCUUAUUAAAGCAGGACAGCGUGACAACCCUGACAGAUUCUGAAUACCGAGAGUCUUGAUCCCGCCUUUUCUCCCGACCUAAAUGUCAUAGAGAACAUAUGGUAUCUCUUAAAGACCAAGGUCGCGGCUUUCCCCAGAGUCGCUACGUCGCUUAACGAGCUCUGGGAACAAAUGCAGAAGGCGUGGGAUGAGAUCGACCUGGAGCUGUCGAAGGAUCUGAUAGAUGAGAUGGAGCAGAGGCGUGUAGCGGUGUGGAAAGCCCAAGGGAAGUCUACCAAUACUAGAUUAUUGUGAAUUAUGCAUAGAACCUGUCUAUGUG